GACCACCAAUGGCAUCGUCUAUUAUCCAAGCGCAGUUAGCUAUGAUAUUCCGAGACUUCCCAAUGUGUAUGGGUGUGGGUGUUGACAGCUCAGACGUUCGCUCAACCCUUUCCAUCCGUGACGCAGACGUCGGCGUCACGGUAUGGAGAGGCUCAAGAGGAAAUGGGAGAGAAUUAAUGCUCUUCUGACCCUCUCAAUCCUCCUCUAAGUUCCUCUUCCAUUUUCUCUUAAGAGGUUUAGGAGAGGAUUAAGAGGUUUAGAAGAGGAUUAAGAGGUUUAGAAGAGGAUUAAGAGGUUUAGAAGAGGAUUAAGAGGUUUAGAAGAGGAUUAAGAGGUUUAGAAGAGGAUUAAGAGGUUUAGAAGAGGAUUAAGAGAUUUAGAAGAGGAUUAAGAGGUUUAGAAGAGGAUUAAGAGGUUUAGAAGAGGAUUAAGAGGUUUGGAAGAGGAUUAAGAGGUUUAGAAGAGGAUUAAGAGGUUUAGAAGAGGAUUAAGAGGUUUAGAAGAGGAUUAAGAGGUUUAGAAGAGGAUUAAGAGGUUUAGAAGAGGAUUAAGAGGUUUAGAAGAGGAUUAAGAGGUUUAGAAGAGGAUUAAGAGGUUUAGAAGAGGAUUAAGAGGUUUAGAAGAGGAUUAAGAGGCUUAGAAGAGGAUUAAGAGGUUUAGAAGAGGAUUAAGAGGUUUAGAAGAGGAUUAAGAGGCUUAGAAGAGGACUAACGGAGAAGGGGUUAAAGCCUUCGAUAACAUAUUACAUUCAAGAAAAUAUGCAUUCCUAUCAAUGUUAACAAAGUUUGAAAGAUGAAAGUAAGAAAAUCACUGAAUUAAACCAUAAUUUCUUUAACAAAACACCUUUCUGAAAAGACACAGGUUGGUAUUAUGAGAUACUUUCGGUUCUCACAUCAGCUAUUUCUAAAGGUCAGAGAGGGGGUCAGUCGGGUUCUAAUGAGUGUUUCUUCAGGUUCACGGUACAGAGGAAGGGUCACACUACCACCAGGGUCAUGAAACUACUCCUGGAAAUGCCUACAACUCCUAUGAAAGCCUUGUCAAAUAUGUGUUUCUUCAGGUUCACGGUACAGAGGAAGGGUCACACUACCACCAGGGUCAUGAAACUACUCCUGGAAAUGCCUACAACUCCUAUGAAAGCCUUGUCAAAUAUGUGUUCUUCAGGUUCACGGUACAGAGGAAGGGUCACACUACCACCAGGGUCAUGAAACUACUCCUGGAAAUGCCUACAAGCCCUAUGAAAGCCUUGUCAAAUAUGUGUUUCUUCAGGUUCACGGUACAGAGGAAGGGUCACACUACCACCAGGGUCAUGAAACUACUCCUGGAAAUGCCUACAACUCCUAUGAAAGCCUUGUCAAAUAUGUGUUUCUUCAGGUUCACGGUACAGAGGAAGGGUCACACUACCACCAGGGUCAUGAAACUACUCCUGGAAAUGCCUACAACCCCUAUGAAAGCCUUGUCAAAUAUGUGUUUCUUCAGGUUCACGGUACAGAGGAAGGGUCACACUACCACCAGGGUCAUGAAACUACUCCUGGAAAUGCCUACAACCCCUAUGAAAGCCUUGUCAAAUAUGUGUUCUUCAGGUUCACGGUACAGAGGAAGGGUCACACUACCACCAGGGUCAUGAAACUACUCCUGGAAAUGCCUACAACCCCUAUGAAAGCCUUGUCAAAUAUGUGUUCUUGGGCGACGAAAUGUCUUAUGAUGCGAUCCACAGUAUCUUGUUGCUGUG
Molecule: long non-coding RNA, 1729 nt
Organism: Eriocheir sinensis (Chinese mitten crab)
Lineage: Eukaryota; Metazoa; Arthropoda; Malacostraca; Decapoda; Varunidae
Exons: 3
Source: RefSeq, a predicted model, not a curated record